AUUGAACGCUGGCGGCAGGCCUAACACAUGCAAGUCGAACGGUUGCACAGAGAGCUUGCUCUCGGGUGACGAGUGGCGGACGGGUGAGUAAUGUCUGGGAAACUGCCCGAUGGAGGGGGAUAACUACUGGAAACGGUAGCUAAUACCGCAUAACGUCGCAAGACCAAAGUGGGGGACCUUCGGGCCUCACACCAUCGGAUGUGCCCAGAUGGGAUUAGCUAGUAGGUGGGGUAAUGGCUCACCUAGGCGACGAUCCCUAGCUGGUCUGAGAGGAUGACCAGCAACACUGGAACUGAGACACGGUCCAGACUCCUACGGGAGGCAGCAGUGGGGAAUAUUGCACAAUGGGCGCAAGCCUGAUGCAGCCAUGCCGCGUGUAUGAAGAAGGCCUUCGGGUUGUAAAGUACUUUCAGCGGGGAGGAAGGCGGUGAAGUUAAUAACUUCACCGAUUGACGUUACCCGCAGAAGAAGCACCGGCUAACUCCGUGCCAGCCGCCGCGGUAA
RNAcentral lists this ribosomal RNA (504 nucleotides) under uncultured bacterium. Its description in RNAcentral is "partial 16S ribosomal RNA". It matches the Rfam family "Bacterial small subunit ribosomal RNA", at positions 30 to 523 of the family's 1533-position model. The record is from RNAcentral.